RNAcentral lists this transfer RNA (89 nucleotides) under Actinokineospora sp. UTMC 2448. RNAcentral describes it as "tRNA-Ala". Lineage: Bacteria; Bacillati; Actinomycetota; Actinomycetes; Pseudonocardiales; Pseudonocardiaceae. The record is from RNAcentral.
UCUCCGAGCGGACGGCGGCGACGUCGGACUCGUCGGCGCCGAGUUCGAAGGCGCGCUCGGCGGCGUCGGUCUCGCCGUCGUCGUCGGCC